UUUGCUUCUUGGCCUUUUGGCUAAAAUCCAGUGUAGUAUCUGUUCUUAUCAGUUUAAUUCUUGAAAAUAUGUGUGCCUUUGAUAUGAUGAAUAACUUUUAAAUACUAAGAAUCUUA
RNAcentral lists this small nuclear RNA (116 nucleotides) under Myotis lucifugus (little brown bat). Its description in RNAcentral is "U2 spliceosomal RNA". It matches the Rfam family "U2 spliceosomal RNA". Rfam says of the family: U2 is a small nuclear RNA (snRNA) component of the spliceosome (involved in pre-mRNA splicing). Complementary binding between U2 snRNA (in an area lying towards the 5' end but 3' to hairpin I) and the branchpoint sequence (BPS) of the intron results the bulging out of an unpaired adenosine, on the BPS, which initiates a nucleophilic attack at the intronic 5' splice site, thus starting the first of two transesterification reactions that mediate splicing. The record is from Rfam by way of RNAcentral. Lineage: Eukaryota; Metazoa; Chordata; Mammalia; Chiroptera; Vespertilionidae.